GGACUACCAGGGUAUCUAAUCCUGUUUGCUCCCCACGCUUUCGUGCCUCAGUGUCAGUAUUGGUCCAGAAAGCCGCCUUCGCCACUGGUGUUCUUCCCGAUAUCUACGCAUUUCACCGCUACACCGGGAGUUCCACUUUCCUCUACCAUACUCUAGAUAGCCAGUAUCGAAUGCAGUUCCCAGGUUAAGCCCGGGGAUUUCACAUCCGACUUAAAUAUCCACCUACACACGCUUUACGCCCAGUAAUUCCGAUUAACGCUUGCACCCUCUGUAUUACCGCGGCGGCUGGCAC
Molecule: ribosomal RNA, 292 nt
Filed under: uncultured bacterium
Lineage: Bacteria
Description: partial 16S ribosomal RNA
Source: RNAcentral